Molecule: RNA transcript, 4505 nt
Organism: Rosa chinensis
Lineage: Eukaryota; Viridiplantae; Streptophyta; Magnoliopsida; Rosales; Rosaceae
Gene name: titin
Exons: 8
Source: RefSeq, a predicted model, not a curated record
AAAAAGGUAAAAAAAAGAAUUAACAGUAUAAUUAGGAGUAGCAAAAGCCCCAGGCAAAACGAAGCAAAGCACUCCAAAUUCCAAAAGCAGUAGCCAAAGCUCGUACCUUUCCUUCUCCUUUCAUCAGAAUUAGGGUUUCUGCGGACGAUUCAGGCAUAUUCAAGUUCUUAAUCUAUAUGUCAUUAAGCUCCUGAUAGAGGGAAGAGAAAAUGGCGGUGGAAGAUUUGUGCCCUCCGUCUUCUGAAAUUUGCACAGUACCGAAUUCUGAGAGUCCUGAACCAGAUGUGGAGCUGGGUUGUUCACGGAAAAAGAAGAAAAAUAAGAAGAAAAGGUGUAAACUUGAAAGCAAUGAUAAGAGUUGUGAAAGUCCCUCCCUACAGUCUCAAUUUGUACAACUCUCAGAUCAAGAAGCACCACAACCACUUACAGAGAAAAGUAAUACAAUAACAGAUUCAGAAAAUCCCCAAUCAAAUGUGGAGCCGAGUCUUUCAACAAAAAAGAAGAAGAAGAAGAAAGGGUCUAGAACCACUGAGACCAAUGAUACAAGUUGUGAAAGUCCCUCCCAACAGCCUCAACUUGUACAGCUUUCAGAUCAACAAGCACCGCAACCACUUGCUGAGAAAAUUUCUACAAUAACAGAUUCAGAGAGUCGCCAGUCAAAUGUGGAGCUGAGUCUUUCACAAAAUAAGAAGAAGAAGAAGAAUAAGAGGAAGAACAAGAAAGGGUGUAAAACCCCUGAGACAAAUGAUAAAAGUUGUGAAAGUCCCUCUAUACAGCCUCAACUUGUACAAGCAACAGAUCAAGAGGUAGAAGUGCCACAACGCAUUGAGGCCGUACAGCCUCAACUUGCACAAGUGACGGAUCAAAAGCUAGAAGUGCCACAAACCAUUGAGGAUUCGAGUUUCUCAGUGAAAACCAAGAAAAGGAAUGGGAAGAAAAGCCGUAAACCCCAUGACUGUAAUGAUGAAGUGUGCGGCGUUUCUGUUGGUACUUCUGUUAUGGAAAGUAAUAUGCCAGCAGUAGAUCCAUAUAUAAAGCCUUCUGUUGAAAUAUCAUUGGAGCAGCUUGUUGCGGAGCCACUUGUGGAGGGAAUGAGUACAACAGCAAACUCAAAAAGUCCCAAACCCAAUGCAGAUUUUGGCUGCUCACAAGAAAUGAAGAAAAAGAAGCGGAAGAGAAGCCACAAAACCAGUGAGUAUAAAGAGCUAUUAGUGGAAACAAUGAUGCCAGAAGCAGAUCCAUCUUUUCAGCCUUCUAUUGCAAUGUUCUCUGAACAAGAACUAGAGGUGUCACAACCACUUAAUGUUGAUGCAGAAUCACUUGUGGAGGGAAUGAGCACAACAAUAAACUCAGAAAGGCCCAGGCCGAAUGCAGAUUUUAACUGCUCACAAGAAACAAAGAAGAAAAAGCGAAAGAGAGGGAACAAAACCAGUGAUAGUAAAGAGGUAUUAGUGGAACCAAUGUUGCCAGAAGCAGAGUCAUCUCUUCGGCCUUCUCUUACAAUGUUAUCUGAGCAAGAACUAGAUGUGCCACAACCACUUAAUGCUGAUGCAGAACCACUUGUGGAGGGAAUGAGCACAACAAUAAACUCGGAAAGUACCAGGGGCAAUGCAGAUUUUACCUGUUCACAAGAAACAAAAAAGAAAAAGCGAAAGAGAGGGAGCAAAACCAGUGACAGUAAAGAGCUAUUAGUGGAAGUAGUGACACCGGAAGCAGAUCCAUCUCUCCAGCCUCUGCUUGCAAUAUUUUCUGAACAUGAGCUAGAGGUGCCACCACCGCUUACUACUGAUGCAGAACCACUUGUGGAGGGAAUGAGCACAACAAUAAACUCGGAAAGUACCAGGGGCAAUGCAGAUUUUACCUGCUCACAAGAAACAAAAAAGAAAAAGCGAAAGAGAGGGAGCAAAACCAGUGACAGUAAAGAGCUAUUAGUGGAAGUAGUGACACCGGAAGCAGAUCCAUCUCUCCAGCCUCUGCUUGCAAUAUUUUCUGAACAUGAGCUAGAGGUGCCACCACCGCUUACUACUGAUGCAGAACCACUUGUGGAGGGAAUGAGCAUGACAAUGAACUCAGAAAGUCUCAAGCCCAAUGCAGAUAUUAGCUGCUUAGAAGAAACAAAGAAGAAAAAUUCAAAGAGAAAGUGCAAAACCAGUGUAAGUAAAAAGCUAUCUGUGGAAAUAAUGAUGCCGGAACCAGAUCCAUCUCUCCAGCCUACUCUUUCUGAAAAAGAGCUAGAGGUGCCACAACCACUUAAUACUGAUGCAGAACCACUUGUGGAGGGAAUGAGCACGACGAUGAACUCAGAAAGUCCCAAGCCCAAUGCAGAUUUUAGCUGCCCACAAGAAACAAAGAAGAAAAAUCGAAGGAGAAAGCACAAAACCAGUGAAAGUAAAGAGCUUUUAGUUGAAAUAAUGGCACCGGAAGAAGAUCCAUCUCUUCAGCCUACUCUUUCUGAAAAAGAACUGCAGGUGCCACCACCCCUUAAUACUGAUGCAGAACCACUUGUGGAGGGAAUGAGCACAACAAUAAACUUGGAAAGUACCAGGGGCAAUGCAGAUUUUACCUGCUCACAAGAAACAAAAAAGAAAAAGCAAAAGAGAGGGAGCAAAACCAGUGAACAUAAAGAGCUCUUAGUGGAAAUAAUGACGCCAGAAACAGAUCCAUCUCUUCAGCCUUCGCUUGCAAUAAUCUCUGAACAAGAGGUAGAGGUGCCACAGCCACUUAAUACUGAUGCACAACCACUUGUGGAGGGAGUAAGCACAACAAACUCGGAGAGUCCCAAGCCCAAUGCAGAAUUUAGUUGCUCACAAGAAACGAAGAAAAAGAAUCCAAAGAGAAAUCGCAAAACCAAUGAGAAUAAAGAGCUAUUGGUGGAAACAAUGACGCCAGAAGCAGAUCUAUCUCUUCAGCCUCCGCUUGCAAUAUUCUCUGAACAAGAGGUAGAGGUGGCACAACCACUUUAUACUGGUACAGUGUGGAAAGAAACCAAGAUUGAUGAAGUUCCUUCCUUGUCACAUUUGACUCCAAAAGCUGAUACUGAAGUAGUUGCUAUCGGUAGAGAGGGCAAUCUUUCUCAGAAAAAGCUUCUGAUUCUUGAUAUUAAUGGGCUGCUUGCUGAUAUUGUCCAGAUGGAAGUUUCUAUCCCCAGUAGUUUUAAACCAGACACAAUAAUAUCACGGAAAGCAGUUUUUAAGAGGCCAUUUUGCGAUGAUUUUCUACAGUUCUGCUUUGACAGAUUUAAUGUGGGUGUGUGGUCUUCAAGAACCAAGGAAAAUGUGAACUCGGUGAUAGAUUUUCUUUUGGGGGAUUCCAAACAUAAAUUACUCUUUUGCUGGAACCAAUCGCACUGCACUUCUACCAGUUUCAAGACGGUGGAGAACAAGAAUAAGCCCCUCGUUUUGAAAGAGCUUAGAAAAUUAUGGGAGAAGCUUGAGCCUGAUCUUCCUUGGGCGAGAGGAGAGUACAACGAAUCCAACACAGUAUUAUUGGAUGAUUCUCCAUACAAGGCUUUGCGCAAUCCGGUGAACACCGCCAUAUUCCCCAAUUCAUAUCAGUUCAGGAACAGAAAAGAUUCUUCAUUAGGACCUGGAGGCGAUAUCCGUUCUUACCUGGAAGGGUUAGCUAUGGCUGAGAGUGCCCAAAAAUAUGUGGAACAGAAUCCAUUUGGUCAGAGACCCAUAACGAAAUCAAAUCCUUCUUGGAACUUCUAUAGGAGAGUUAUAGAGGAUGUAAAACCCCUGAGAUGACUCGGCCUUUUUCAUGCCUUGGACCCAUCGAUGUUUUACAGUUCCAUACCAGACAUGCAGGGUUGUGAAAUAGGUGCCACCAUCUUUAACUUGAUGCAGAUAGUUGGGGUUGUUGACAGUCGAUAGAAAUUUGUUACUCAACCACCAUGUUCUGCAAAUCUUAUACUUUGAGUUUGAGGAAAAUCUUCUGGGGUUGCUUUGUUAUAUUUCCAGCAGGGAUACAACACCAACCAAAUUUGAUUCCAUGUGCCUGCCUUGAUUCAGCUAUCAGUUACCGUUGUGCUUAGCUUGUUUGAAAUGUACAUCUCUUGCACCAACCAAACUUAAACCCACUGAUAUAACCAGCAAUUGGUCCAUGUCUAUUUAUGUGCCUGGUUCAAAGUAACAGCUACUGAAGCCCAUUAGUUAAUUAGGCAUAUCUAGGAUCUUUUGUGUUGUCUGUUUGCAAGUUUUUGAAGGCUAUCGAUGGUUGGUACUGGCUGAUUUUUAUUUACCACGAUGAUCAACUUGGCAUGUGCUGCUACAUCUGGCAAAUCAAUUGCUUGACUUGGUUCACCCAAUUCUGUGAUCUCUUGCAUUUCAGAACUUCUUGAUACUUUUCAUAUUGUUUAACAUUGCAUACAAGACCAGCUUUUCUUAACUCUUAGAUUGAUGACUUCCUUCUAUUCAUAACAUAAAAUCGUUUUUCUUUGUGAGAUAACGCAUACUGUUAGCCAAUUAUCCCCGUGUCCCUCCCUGCCUCCGGAUCAUAAUCCCUCC